GUGGACCCGUGAUCCGGGUUGCGGACAGUGUCUGGUGGGUAGUUUGACUGGGGCGGUCUCCUCCUAAAGAGUAACGGAGGAGCACGAAGGUUGGCUAAUCCUGGUCGGACAUCAGGAGGUUAGUGCAAUGGCAUAAGCCAGCUUGACUGCGAGCGUGACGGCGCGAGCAGGUGCGAAAGCAGGUCAUAGUGAUCCGGUGGUUCUGAAUGGAAGGGCCAUCGCUCAACGGAUAAAAGGUACUCCGGGGAUAACAGGCUGAUACCGCCCAAGAGUUCAUAUCGACGGCGGUGUUUGGCACCUCGAUGUCGGCUCAUCACAUCCUGGGGCUGAAGUAGGUCCCAAGGGUAUGGCUGUUCGCCAUUUAAAGUGGUACGCGAGCUGGGUUUAGAACGUCGUGAGACAGUUCGGUCCCUAUCUGCCGUGGGCGCUGGAGAACUGAGGGGGGCUGCUCCUAGUACGAGAGGACCGGAGUGGACGCAUCACUGGUGUUCGGGUUGUCAUGCCAAUGGCACUGCCCGGUAGCUAAAUGCGGAAGAGAUAAGUGCUGAAAGCAUCUAAGCACGAAACUUGCCCCGAGAUGAGUUCUCCCUGAGACUUUAGGUCUCCUGAAGGAACGUUGAAGACGACGACGUUGAUAGGCCGGGUGUGUAAGCGCAGCGAUGCGUUGAGCUAACCGGUACUAAUGAACCGUGAGGCUUAACCUUACA
RNAcentral lists this ribosomal RNA (707 nucleotides) under Salmonella enterica. Its description in RNAcentral is "partial 23S ribosomal RNA". It matches the Rfam family "Bacterial large subunit ribosomal RNA", at positions 2227 to 2925 of the family's 2925-position model. Lineage: Bacteria; Pseudomonadati; Pseudomonadota; Gammaproteobacteria; Enterobacterales; Enterobacteriaceae. The record is from RNAcentral.